RNAcentral lists this ribosomal RNA (301 nucleotides) under uncultured bacterium. RNAcentral describes it as "partial 16S ribosomal RNA". It matches the Rfam family "Bacterial small subunit ribosomal RNA", at positions 509 to 807 of the family's 1533-position model. The record is from RNAcentral.
CAGUAGCCGCGGUAAUACGUAGGGCGCAAGCGUUGUCCGGAAUUAUUGGGCGUAAAGAGCUCGUAGGCGGUCUGUCGCGUCUGGUGUGAAAUCCCGAGGCUCAACCUCGGGCUUGCAUCGGGUACGGGCAGACUAGAGUGCGGUAGGGGAGACUGGAAUUCCUGGUGUAGCGGUGGAAUGCGCAGAUAUCAGGAGGAACACCGAUGGCGAAGGCAGGUCUCUGGGCCGCAACUGACGCUGAGGAGCGAAAGCAUGGGGAGCGAACAGGAUUAGAUACCCCCGUAGUCCCUGUAUCUUAUAC